This 691-nucleotide ribosomal RNA is filed under the name uncultured bacterium. RNAcentral describes it as "bacterial SSU rRNA". It matches the Rfam family "Bacterial small subunit ribosomal RNA", at positions 66 to 744 of the family's 1533-position model. The record is from RNAcentral.
GGGGCAGCAUGGUCUUAGCUUGCUAAGGCUGAUGGCGACCGGCGCACGGGUGAGUAACACGUAUCCAACCUGCCGUCUACUCUUGGCCAGCCUUCUGAAAGGAAGAUUAAUCCAGGAUGGGAUCAUGAGUUCACAUGUCCGCAUGAUUAAAGGUAUUUUCCGGUAGACGAUGGGGAUGCGUUCCAUUAGAUAGUAGGCGGGGUAACGGCCCACCUAGUCAACGAUGGAUAGGGGUUCUGAGAGGAAGGUCCCCCACAUUGGAACUGAGACACGGUCCAAACUCCUACGGGAGGCAGCAGUGAGGAAUAUUGGUCAAUGGGCGAUGGCCUGAACCAGCCAAGUAGCGUGAAGGAUGACUGCCCUAUGGGUUGUAAACUUCUUUUAUAAAGGAAUAAAGUCGGGUAUGCAUACCCGUUUGCAUGUACUUUAUGAAUAAGGAUCGGCUAACUCCGUGCCAGCAGCCGCGGUAAUACGGAGGAUCCGAGCGCUAUCCGGAUUUAUUGGGUUUAAAGGGAGCGUAGAUGGAUGUUUAAGUCAGUUGUGAAAGUUUGCGGCUCAACCGUAAAAUUGCAGUUGAUACUGGAUGUCUUGAGUGCAGUUGAGGCAGGCGGAAUUCGUGGUGUAGCGGUGAAAUGCUUAGAUAUCACGAAGAACUCCGAUUGCGAAGGCAGCCUGCUAAGCUGCAACUGAC